UACGUAGGUGGCAAGCGUUGUUCGGAAUUACUGGGCGUAAAGGGCGCGUAGGCGGCCAUCUAAGUCAGACGUGAAAUCCCCCGGCUUAACCUGGGAACUGCGUCUGAUACUGGACGGCUUGAGUAUGGGAGAGGGAUGUAGAAUUCCAGGUGUAGCGGUGAAAUGCGUAGAUAUCUGGAGGAACACCUGUGGCGAAAGCGGCGCACUGGACCAUAACUGACGCUGAUGCGCGAAAGCUAGGGGAGCAAACAGG
This 253-nucleotide ribosomal RNA is filed under the name uncultured bacterium. RNAcentral describes it as "partial 16S ribosomal RNA". It matches the Rfam family "Bacterial small subunit ribosomal RNA", at positions 524 to 776 of the family's 1533-position model. The record is from RNAcentral.